RNAcentral lists this ribosomal RNA (492 nucleotides) under uncultured bacterium. RNAcentral describes it as "bacterial SSU rRNA". It matches the Rfam family "Bacterial small subunit ribosomal RNA", at positions 8 to 518 of the family's 1533-position model. The record is from RNAcentral.
AGAGUUGAUCCUGGCUUAGGACGAACGCUGGCGGCGUGCCUAACACAUGCAAGUCGAGCGAGGAGAUCCUCGGGAUGAUCCUAGCGGCGGACGGGUGAGUAACACGUGGGCAACCUGCCUCAUAGAGAGGAAUAGCCUUCCGAAAGGGAGAUUAAUACCUCAUAACAUUGCAGUUUCGCAUGGAACAGCAAUUAAAGGAGUAAUCCGCUAUGAGAUGGGGCCCGCGGCGCAUUAGCUAGUUGGUGAGGUAACGGCUCACCAAGGCGACGAUGCGUAGCCGACCUGAGAGGGUGAUCGGCCACAUUGGGACUGAGACACGGCCCAGACUCCUACGGGAGGCAGCAGUGGGGAAUAUUGCACAAUGGGGGAAACCCUGAUGCAAGCAACGCCGCGUGAGUGAUGACGGCCUUCGGGUUGUAAAGCUCUGUCUUCAGGGACGAUAAUGACGGUACCUGAGGAGGAAGCCACGGCUAACUACGUGCCAGCAGCCGC